This 200-nucleotide ribosomal RNA is filed under the name uncultured bacterium. RNAcentral describes it as "partial 16S ribosomal RNA". It matches the Rfam family "Bacterial small subunit ribosomal RNA", at positions 28 to 233 of the family's 1533-position model. The record is from RNAcentral.
GACGAACGCUGGCGGCGUGCUUAACACAUGCAAGUCGAGCGGAAAGGCCCUUCGGGGUACUCGAGCGGCGAACGGGUGAGUAACACGUGAGUAACCUGCCCUGGACUUUGGGAUAACCCUCGGAAACGGGGGCUAAUACCGGAUAUGACUGCUGGCCGCAUGGUUGGUGGUGGAAAGUUUUUCGGUCUGGGAUGGGCUCG